GAUUGGUUAGUUUAAUUGGGAAAACACUUCUGAAAGACAAGAGGUAAUAUUGGUUCAAGUCCGAUAUCAAUCG
Molecule: transfer RNA, 73 nt
Filed under: bacterium
Lineage: Bacteria
Description: tRNA-Phe
Rfam family: tRNA
About the family: Transfer RNA (tRNA) molecules are approximately 80 nucleotides in length. Their secondary structure includes four short double-helical elements and three loops (D, anti-codon, and T loops).
Source: RNAcentral